UGCAAGUCGAACGCUUCUUUUUCCACCGGAGCUUGCUCCACCGGAAAAAGAGGAGUGGCGAACGGGUGAGUAACACGUGGGUAACCUGCCCAUCAGAAGGGGAUAACACUUGGAAACAGGUGCUAAUACCGUAUAACAAUCGAAACCGCAUGGUUUUGAUUUGAAAGGCGCUUUCGGGUGUCGCUGAUGGAUGGACCCGCGGUGCAUUAGCUAGUUGGUGAGGUAACGGCUCACCAAGGCCACGAUGCAUAGCCGACCUGAGAGGGUGAUCGGCCACAUUGGGACUGAGACACGGCCCAAACUCCUACGGGAGGCAGCAGUAGGGAAUCUUCGGCAAUGGACGAAAGUCUGACCGAGCAACGCCGCGUGAGUGAAGAAGGUUUUCGGAUCGUAAAACUCUGUUGUUAGAGAAGAACAAGGAUGAGAGUAACUGUUCAUCCCUUGACGGUAUCUAACCAGAAAGCCACGGCUAACUACGUGCCAGCAGCCGCGGUAAUACGUAGGUGGCAAGCGUUGUCCGGAUUUAUUGGGCGUAAAGCGAGCGCAGGCGGUUUCUUAAGUCUGAUGUGAAAGCCCCCGGCUCAACCGGGGAGGGUCAUUGGAAACUGGGAGACUUGAGUGCAGAAGAGGAGAGUGGAAUUCCAUGUGUAGCGGUGAAAUGCGUAGAUAUAUGGAGGAACACCAGUGGCGAAGGCGGCUCUCUGGUCUGUAACUGACGCUGAGGCUCGAAAGCGUGGGGAGCAAACAGGAUUAGAUACCCUGGUAGUCCACGCCGUAAACGAUGAGUGCUAAGUGCUGGAGGGUUUCCGC
RNAcentral lists this ribosomal RNA (810 nucleotides) under uncultured bacterium. Its description in RNAcentral is "bacterial SSU rRNA". It matches the Rfam family "Bacterial small subunit ribosomal RNA", at positions 56 to 837 of the family's 1533-position model. The record is from RNAcentral.